Ochotona curzoniae (black-lipped pika) is the source of this 107-nucleotide small nuclear RNA. Lineage: Eukaryota; Metazoa; Chordata; Mammalia; Lagomorpha; Ochotonidae. The record is from RefSeq and is a predicted model, not a curated record.
GUGCUUGGUUCAAUAGCACAUAUACUAAAAUUGGAAUGAUACAGAGAAGAUUAGCAUGGCCCCUGUGCAAGGAUAACACACAAGUUUAUGAAGUGUUUCAUGUUUUU